This is a long non-coding RNA of Triticum aestivum (bread wheat), 798 nucleotides long. RefSeq lists it as uncharacterized. Lineage: Eukaryota; Viridiplantae; Streptophyta; Magnoliopsida; Poales; Poaceae. The record is from RefSeq and is a predicted model, not a curated record. The transcript is spliced from 4 exons.
CACCUCCAGAUCGCAUCUCCCUUCUCUUCUCCUCUACCUAUCAGCGCUGCAGCCUAGACCUCGCCGAUCGCCUCGACCCCGACGCGUCCACGCUGCUGCCUGCAAAUCGCCGGUCGCCUCGACCCCGACGCGCUGCUGCCUGCAACUGCAAGUAGCCGGUCGCCUCGACCCGUCGCGUCAGCGCUGCAGCCUGCACCUUGCCGGUAGCCUUGACCCCGACGCGUCCGCGCUGCUGCCUGCAAGUCACCGGUCACCUCGACCUCGUCGCCUCCGCACUGCCGCCUGCACAUCGCCGGUUGUGUAGACCCCUGUGCGCCCGAUCUACUUCCUGCAUAUCGCCAUUCGCCAACGCGAUUCCGUUGUUAUCGCAAUGAGGCUCAUAUGCAAGAAGAGGAACUAUGAAAGAAAAAGUACGAGUUAGCUACAAAAGCAAUGAAAGAUGAAGUUGAUGCCAGCAAUGACAGUGGCAUAGGAAAGGAUAUGGAUGAAUUUGAUGCUAUGAAGAAAUGUCAUUUUUUUACGAGCAAGUGAAACUGGUACUUGAAAAAAAAGUCCGAUGGCGUGGUGCAAGAACUGUCAGAAAUUAAACGGCUUAUGUUUGGUAGAUCUCCAAGUGAUGGAUCUCAUGAAAUCCAGCAUGAACAAGACCAAUGGUCCAUCGUAAACAUUUAGAAGCAUCCGAAGGAAUUGUAAUCGCCAAUGAAGAAUGAUAUCCAUUCAAGCAAUGAUGGUGUCCCUGGAUUGAAGAUUAAUAAGCAUUAUCUUUUCUAGUUUUCUCGUUUUCUGGUUAGACAUGAG